GAUGGUGUAGCUCAGUGGUAGAGUGCCCGCUUAGCAUGCAUGAGGUCCUGGGUUCAAUCCCCAGUACUAACA
This 72-nucleotide transfer RNA is filed under the name Camelus bactrianus (Bactrian camel). It matches the Rfam family "tRNA". From Rfam's summary of the family: Transfer RNA (tRNA) molecules are approximately 80 nucleotides in length. Their secondary structure includes four short double-helical elements and three loops (D, anti-codon, and T loops). RNAcentral also lists the same sequence under 1 other name. The record is from Rfam by way of RNAcentral. Lineage: Eukaryota; Metazoa; Chordata; Mammalia; Artiodactyla; Camelidae.